UUAAAAUUCCCGAAAGGAUCCACUUAACGUGGAGAUGCCUUGUAACCGGAAUAUUUUGAAGGGGGAAAUAUAAU
RNAcentral lists this small RNA (74 nucleotides) under chicken gut metagenome. RNAcentral's name for it is "SMK box translational riboswitch (SAM-III)". It matches the Rfam family "SAM-III riboswitch aptamer (SMK box)". The record is from RNAcentral.